CUACGGAGGGUGCAAGCGUUAUCCGGAUUUAUUGGGUUUAAAGGGUUCGUAGGCGGAUCAAUAAGUCAGUGGUGAAAGCCUGUGGCUCAACCAUAGAACUGCCAUUGAUACUGUUGAUCUUGAGUACACUUGAAGUGGGCGGAAUGCGUCAUGUAGCGGUGAAAUGCAUAGAUAUGACGCAGAACACCGAUUGCGAAGGCAGCUCACUAAAUUGUAACUGACGCUGAGGAACGAAAGCGUGGGGAGCGAACAGGAUUAGAAACCCUAGUAGUCC
This 274-nucleotide ribosomal RNA is filed under the name uncultured bacterium. RNAcentral's name for it is "partial 16S ribosomal RNA". It matches the Rfam family "Bacterial small subunit ribosomal RNA", at positions 523 to 796 of the family's 1533-position model. The record is from RNAcentral.